This 253-nucleotide ribosomal RNA is filed under the name uncultured microorganism. Its description in RNAcentral is "partial small subunit ribosomal RNA". It matches the Rfam family "Bacterial small subunit ribosomal RNA", at positions 524 to 776 of the family's 1533-position model. The record is from RNAcentral.
UACGUAGGUGGCAAGCGUUGUCCGGAAUUACUGGGCGUAAAGGAUGUGUAGGCGGAUGUUUAAGUGAGAUGUGAAAUCCCCGGGCUCAACUUGGGGGCUGCAUUUCAAACUGGAUAUCUAGAGUGCAGGAGAGGAAAGCGGAAUUCCUAGUGUAGCGGUGAAAUGCGUAGAGAUUAGGAAGAACAUCAGUGGCGAAGGCGGCUUUCUGGACUGUAACUGACGCUGAGGCAUGAAAGCGUGGGGANCAAACAGG